AGUCUGGUGCCAGCAGCCGCGGUAAUUCCAGCUCCAAUAGUGUAUAUUAUUAUUGUUGUAGUUAAAAAGCUCGUAGUUGGAUUUCGGAAUGCGGAAGUCAAAGCCCAUCUAAAUGGUGUGGCUCGACAUCCGCUUCCUGUCUUUGGGUAAUAGCAGUCUUUCGGGAUUUGUUGUUCCUAAUUGUUUACCUUGAAUAAAUAUGAGCGUUCAAAGCAGGUAUAUUUGCCUUGAAAUUUGCAGCACGGGAUAAUAGAAUAGGAUUUCGGCCUUAUUUUGUUGGUUUCUAAAGCUGAGAUAAUGAUUAAGAGGGACAGUUGGGGUCGCUCGUAUUGAGUUGUCAGAGGUGAAAUUCUAGGAUUGACUCAAGACGAACUGGUGCGAAAGCGUUCGACAAGGAUGUUUUCAUUAAUCAAGAACGAAAGUUGGGGGAUCGAAGAUGAUCAGAUACCGUCGUAGUCCUAACCAUAAACUAUGUGGACCAAGGAUCCGAAGAUGUUACAUGGAUGACUCCUCGGGCACUUUGUGAGAAAUCAGAGUAUUUGCAUUCCGGGGGGAGUAUGGCCGCAAGACUGAAACUUAAAGGAAUUGACGGAAGGGCACCACCAGGAGUGGAAUCUGCGGCUUAAUUUGACUCAACACGGGGAAACUCACCAGGUCCGGACACAGUAAGGAUUGACAGAUUGAGAGCUCUUUCUUGAUUCUGUGGGUGGUGGUGCAUGGCCGUUUUUAGUUGGUGGAUUGAUUUGUCUUGUUAAUUCAGAUAACGAGCGAGACCUCAUCCUGCUAAUUAGUGAUGCAAACUUGGUUGUCAUAAGAUUCGUUCUGGGGUAGCCUGUAUGGUUUGUACGCAACUUCUUAGAGGGACUCUCGGUAUUUUUAGCCGAUGGAAGUUUGAGGCAAAAACAGGUCUGUGAUGCCCUUAGAUGUCCUGGGCUGCACGCGCGUUACACUGGCAGUUGCAACGAGUUAUUCUCCUUCUCCGAAGGGAGCGGGUAAACUUUUUCAACGACUGCCGUGAUUGGGAUUGAGCCUUGUAAUUAUUGCUCAUGAACGAGGAAUUCCUAGUAAGCGCGAUUCAUCAAAUCGCGCUGAUUACGUCCCUGCCCUUUGUACACACCGCCCGUCGCUUGUACCGAUUGAAUGGUCCGGUGAGGACUUAGGACGGUAGGUAUGUGUCACUUCGCAAGGAGUGGCCAUACUCGCUGAAGUUUGUUCAAACCUUACCAUUUAGAGGAACAAGAAGU
RNAcentral lists this ribosomal RNA (1244 nucleotides) under metagenome. RNAcentral describes it as "SSU rRNA". It matches the Rfam family "Eukaryotic small subunit ribosomal RNA", at positions 558 to 1789 of the family's 1831-position model. The record is from RNAcentral.